GCAAUCUUUUUUAUCGAUAUGAACUCUCCAAAAAAAUUACGCUGUUAUCCCUAAAGUAACUUAAAUUUUUAAUCAUUAUAAAUGGAUCAAUUAUUCAUAAAUUAAUGGUUUUUAAAAUUAAAAGUUUUUUAAAUUUUAAUAUCACCCCAAUAAAAUAUUUUAAUUUAUUAUAAUAAAAAUAAUCUUUAUAAUUAAAAUAAACAAAAUAUAAAGAUUUAUAGGGUCUUCUCGUCUUUUAAAUUUAUUUUAGCUUUUUGACUAAAAAAUAAAAUUCUAUAAAAAAUUUAAAUGAAACAGUUAAUAUUUCGUCCAACCAUUCAUUCCAGCCUUCAAUUAAAAGACUAAUGAUUAUGCUACCUUUGCACAGUUAGAAUACUGCGGCCAUUUAAAAUUUUCAGUGGGCAGGUUAG
Molecule: ribosomal RNA, 410 nt
Filed under: Drosophila nr. dorsigera RTL-2014
Lineage: Eukaryota; Metazoa; Arthropoda; Insecta; Diptera; Drosophilidae
Description: partial 16S ribosomal RNA
Source: RNAcentral